This 497-nucleotide ribosomal RNA is filed under the name uncultured bacterium. Its description in RNAcentral is "partial 16S ribosomal RNA". It matches the Rfam family "Bacterial small subunit ribosomal RNA", at positions 28 to 507 of the family's 1533-position model. The record is from RNAcentral.
GAUGAACGCUGGCGGCGUGCCUAAUACAUGCAAGUCGAGCAAACAGAUGAGGAGCUUGCUCCUCUGACGUUAGCGGCGGACGGGUGAGUAACACGUGGAUAACCUACCUAUAAGACUGGGAUAACUUCGGGAAACCGGAGCUAAUACCGGAUAAUAUAUUGAACCGCAUGGUUCAAUAGUGAAAGACGGUUUUGCUGUCACUUAUAGAUGGAUCCGCGCCGCAUUAGCUAGUUGGUAAGGUAACGGCUUACCAAGGCAACGAUGCGUAGCCGACCUGAGAGGGUGAUCGGCCACACUGGAACUGAGACACGGUCCAGACUCCUACGGGAGGCAGCAGUAGGGAAUCUUCCGCAAUGGGCGAAAGCUUGACGGAGCAACGCCGCGUGAGUGAUGAAGGUCUUCGGAUCGUAAAACUCUGUUAUUAGGGAAGAACAAAUGUGUAAGUAACUAUGCACGUCUUGACGGUACCUAAUCAGAAAGCCACGGCUAACUACGUG